Molecule: small nuclear RNA, 106 nt
Organism: Suncus etruscus (white-toothed pygmy shrew)
Lineage: Eukaryota; Metazoa; Chordata; Mammalia; Eulipotyphla; Soricidae
Source: RefSeq, a predicted model, not a curated record
GUGCUAACUUCCACAGCCCAUAUACUAAAACUGAAUGAUAUAGAGAAGAUUUGCAUGGCCCCUAUUCAAGGAUGGCUUGCAAAUUUGUGAAGUGUUCCAUACUUUU